Molecule: ribosomal RNA, 263 nt
Filed under: uncultured bacterium
Lineage: Bacteria
Description: partial 16S ribosomal RNA
Rfam family: Bacterial small subunit ribosomal RNA
Source: RNAcentral
CUUAGUGGCGGACGGGUGAGUAACGCGGUGGGAACCUGCCCUGUACAGGGGGAUAACACUUAGAAAUAGGUGCUAAUACCGCAUAAGCGCACAGUAUCGCAUGAUACAGUGUGAAAAACUCCGGUGGUACAGGAUGGACCCGCGUCUGAUUAGCUGGUUGGCGGGGUAACGGCCCACCAAGGCGACGAUCAGUAGCCGGCCUGAGAGGGUGAACGGCCACAUUGGGACUGAGACACGGCCCAAACUCCUACGGAAGGCAGCAG